CCUACGGGAGGCAGCAGUGGGGAAUAUUGGGCAAUGGAGGAAACUCUGACCCAGCAACGCCGCGUGAAUGAUGAAGGUCUUCGGAUUGUAAAGUUCUUUUCUAAGGGAAGAAGAAAGUGACGGUACCUUAGGAAUAAGCCUCGGCUAACUACGUGCCAGCAGACGCGGUAAUACGUAGGAGGCGAGCGUUAUCCGGAAUGACUGGGCGUAAAGGGGGCGGAGGUGGUUUGGCAAGUUAGUAGCGUAACUCCAAGGCUCAACCUUGGAACUACUACUAAAACUGUUGGACUUGAGUGCAGGAGGGGCAGCCGGAAUUCCUAGUGUAGCGGUGGAAUGCGUAGAUAUUAGGAGGAACACCAGUGGCGAAGGCGGGUUGCUAGACUGUAACUGACACUGAGGCACGAAAGCGUGGGGAGCAAACAGGAUUAGAUACCCUUGUAGUC
Molecule: ribosomal RNA, 443 nt
Filed under: uncultured bacterium
Lineage: Bacteria
Description: partial 16S ribosomal RNA
Rfam family: Bacterial small subunit ribosomal RNA
Source: RNAcentral